RNAcentral lists this ribosomal RNA (255 nucleotides) under Listeria monocytogenes. Its description in RNAcentral is "partial 23S ribosomal RNA". It matches the Rfam family "Bacterial large subunit ribosomal RNA", at positions 267 to 516 of the family's 2925-position model. The record is from RNAcentral. Lineage: Bacteria; Bacillati; Bacillota; Bacilli; Caryophanales; Listeriaceae.
GCCCAAACCAAGAAGCUUGCUUCUUGGGGUUGUAGGACACUCUAUACGGAGUUACAAAAGAAAGUUAUAAAUGAAGCGGUCUGGAAAGGCCCGCCAAAGACGGUAACAGCCCGGUAGUUGAAAUGGCAUUCCCUCCAGAGUGGAUCCUGAGUACGGCGGAACACGUGAAAUUCCGUCGGAAUCCGGGAGGACCAUCUCCCAAGGCUAAAUACUCCCUAGUGACCGAUAGUGAACCAGUACCGUGAGGGAAAGGUG